RNAcentral lists this ribosomal RNA (482 nucleotides) under uncultured bacterium. Its description in RNAcentral is "bacterial SSU rRNA". It matches the Rfam family "Bacterial small subunit ribosomal RNA", at positions 585 to 1071 of the family's 1533-position model. The record is from RNAcentral.
AAGUGUGUUGUGAAAUGUAGACGCUCAACGUCUGACUUGCAGCGCAUACUGGUUUCCUUGAGUACGCACAACGUUGGCGGAAUUCGUCGUGUAGCGGUGAAAUGCUUAGAUAUGACGAAGAACUCCGAUUGCGAAGGCAGCUGACGGGAGCGCAACUGACGCUGAAGCUCGAAGGUGCGGGUAUCGAACAGGAUUAGAUACCCUGGUAGUCCGCACAGUAAACGAUGGAUGCCCGCUGUUGGUACCUGGUAUCAGCGGCUAAGCGAAAGCAUUAAGCAUCCCACCUGGGGAGUACGCCGGCAACGGUGAAACUCAAAGGAAUUGACGGGGGCCCGCACAAGCGGAGGAACAUGUGGUUUAAUUCGAUGAUACGCGAGGAACCUUACCCGGGCUUGAAUUGCAGAGGAAGGAUUUAGAGAUAAUGACGCCCUUCGGGGUCUCUGUGAAGGUGCUGCAUGGUUGUCGUCAGCUCGUGUCGUGAG